GGAAGAACCUUCGGUGGCGAAAGGACGGCUUGCUGGACGAUAUACUGGCGCUAAAGGCUCGGAAGCGUGGGAAGCGAACAGGAUUAGAUAACCCUGGUAGUCCACGCUGUUAAACGAUGAACACUUGGGUGUUGGGAGGGUAAAGCCUUUCAGUGCCCGCAGCAAACGCAAUAAGUGUUCCACCUGGGGAGUACGUUCGGCAAGAAUUGAAACUCAAAAGGAAUUGACGGGGACCCGCACAAGCGGUGGAGCAUGUGGGUUUAAAUUCGAAGCAACGCGAAAGAACCUUACCAAGUCUUGACAUCCCCUGUGACAGUAUAUGUAAUGUAUAUUUUCUACGGAACACAGGAGACAGGUGGUGCAUGGUUGUCGUCAGCUCGUGUCGUGAGAUGUUGGGUUAAGUCCCGCAACGAGCGCAACCCUUGUACUUAGUAGCCAGCAUUAAGGUGGGCACUCUAAGUAGACUGCCGGGGUGAACCCGGAGGAAGGUGGGGAUGACGUCAAAUCAUCAUGCCCCUUAUGACCUGGGCUACACACGUGCUACAAUGGACGGUACAACGAGAAGCGAACCUGCGAAGGCAAGCGGAUCUCUGAAAGCCGUUCUCAGUUCGGACUGUAGGCUGCAACUCGCCUACACGAAGCUGGAAUCGCUAGUAAUCGCGGAUCAGCACGCCGCGGUGAAUACGUUCCCGGGCCUUGUACACACCGCCCGUCACACCA
RNAcentral lists this ribosomal RNA (720 nucleotides) under uncultured bacterium. RNAcentral's name for it is "bacterial SSU rRNA". It matches the Rfam family "Bacterial small subunit ribosomal RNA", at positions 699 to 1404 of the family's 1533-position model. The record is from RNAcentral.